UUACGACUUUUUUCUCCCUAACAAUAAAAAUCUUUUUUUUUUUUAUCUUCAAUUGUGUAAAAUAAUUUUUUUUUAAAUUUAAAAUGCAAACGUAUUGCUUUUCAUAUAGAGUUCAACAAGCAACUGCGGCAAAUCCGAAAAGCCAUAAUACAAAAGACGAGCAUACGAACUUGAGAUUUUUCACUUUCCUUCGACAAAUCCUGGCGCACAGAAUGCAGAACGACAACAAAUAGAAGAUGAAGUUGAGGCAGCGGCAGAAGCUUGUAAAGUUCACGCUAAAUUUAAAGUAUACAAAAGAAAAAGCAAACGCAGGCCAGACCAGACCUGAACCAGACCCAGACCCAGGCCCAGGCCCAGCCCGAUAUGGCCCAGGAAACAUUUUAAAAUCCAACAUCAAGCCCGGAGGCACUGAAUUCGAUAUGCCUCCCCCCAGCAGAAUAAUCGUACUCCCCCAAUCUGCCCCCCGACUUGCUCUUAUGCUGAAUUGCAUUUUCGCAGAGACCGCAGACGACUGCAAUUGCUGCCGCCAAAUGGCUUUUAUGAAUGCUCCAGCAAAAAAAGCGAGAGAGAGCUAUGGCCAGGGCCAAGGUGAGCACAGGGAGUGAAAACCUGGAGAUGCUUUGCAGCUGCUGCCUUGGCUGCUGCUGAUAAGCGGAUACAACGUUAAGCAGCGCGUUCGAGUGGUUUUCUGAUAACAUGUAACACCCUUUAACAACCAAUAGUCCCAUUUAUGUUUAGCUAGAUCAAACUCAAUGUACAGAGCAGCAAUGAACAAUUGUUGUGGGGGGAAAAUCAAUAGUCGGACUCUUGGCAACUCGAAUGCGAAUUGUUGCAACACUCAUUCUACGCAGUUUGAAUGGGCUCUAAAAUGGACUCUCCAAUGUUAGCGCCAUGUCCAUGUCCAUGUCAUGUCAUGUUGUUAUUUCUAUUUUCCUUUUUUUUUUUGUUGCUGACCUGGCACUUGACAUGGUGGCUGCUUGUAAAGUGAAUCCUGCUGGCAUUCGGACUUCUUGUCGCCGCAAAUUAAAUGUGCAGGUUUCCCAACUCCAGUUCCUCCUACUCCUCUUUUUCAUUUCCUUUAGGAGCAAGCCCACAGUCAGCCCCUAGACAGGUUCUUAAGCCAAUUUUCCAUGCGGUUGGCCAACAAUUGUUGCGCUCUAUGGCACAAACAAUUUCUCUUUUAACGUAGAAUUGAACCUCUAUAAGUAUUCAUAAUUGGACCUGACCCGGCAGCUGGAGUCCUAUAAUUUUCUUGUGGCCAAUGGAAAAUGGGCUGGGUCACUAUAAUUGCGAGUGUGUGUGCGUUGAGUGUAUGCGUGUGUAAUAUUGAUUUAUAUAUGUGGUUGACUGGCGACAGUUAGGCAGCUCAUUAAUUUUGUGGUGGGUAACUUGUGGCAACCGCAACUCGACAAUAAUGCUCUUAUGGCAAAAGCAAUAUACGAAAAUCGAAUACGGUAUGGUUAACAAUUGGAAGUAUUAAUUGAUAAUAUGAGGGGAAGCUCAGUAAUGUAUAUCUG
This is a long non-coding RNA of Drosophila sulfurigaster albostrigata, 1517 nucleotides long. RefSeq lists it as uncharacterized. NCBI's taxonomy places the organism in Eukaryota, Metazoa, Arthropoda, Insecta, Diptera, Drosophilidae. The record is from RefSeq and is a predicted model, not a curated record. The transcript is spliced from 3 exons.